RNAcentral lists this ribosomal RNA (484 nucleotides) under uncultured bacterium. RNAcentral's name for it is "partial 16S ribosomal RNA". It matches the Rfam family "Bacterial small subunit ribosomal RNA", at positions 30 to 507 of the family's 1533-position model. The record is from RNAcentral.
AUUGAACGCUGGCGGCAGGCUUUACACAUGCCAGUCGAACGGCUGCGCGGGCUUUGCUCUUGCGUCGAGUGGCGGACGGGUGAGUAAUGCCUAGGAACGUGCCUGGUAGUGGGGGAUAACGUCGGGAAAGGGGGGUUAAUACCGCAUACGUCCUGAGGGAGAAAGCGGGGGAUCUUCGGACCUCACGCUAUUGGAUCGGCCUAUGGCGGAUUAGCUAGUUGGUGGGGUAAAGGCCUACCAAGGCGACGAUCUGUAGCUGGUCUGAGAGGACGACCAGCCACACUGGGACUGAGACACGGCCCAGACUCCUACGGGAGGCAGCAGUGGGGAAUUUUGGACAAUGGGCGAAAGCCUGAUCCAGCAAUGCCGCGUGUGUGAUGAAGGCCUUCGGGUUGUAAAGCACUUUUGGCGGGAACGAAAAGGACUGUGCUAAUACCACGGUUCGAUGACGUUACCAGCAGAAUAAGCACCGGCUAACUACGUG